Molecule: transfer RNA, 85 nt
Filed under: Felis catus (domestic cat)
Lineage: Eukaryota; Metazoa; Chordata; Mammalia; Carnivora; Felidae
Rfam family: tRNA
About the family: Transfer RNA (tRNA) molecules are approximately 80 nucleotides in length. Their secondary structure includes four short double-helical elements and three loops (D, anti-codon, and T loops).
Source: Rfam by way of RNAcentral
GCCUGGGUGGCUCAGUUGGUUGAGCGUCUGACUUUGGCUCAGGUCAUGAUCUCAUGGUUCGUAGGUUCAAGCCCCCCCUCGGGCU